CGGAGAUCCGCUGCAGCCCAGAGCCCCUGAAGACGCCGGCCCCCUCUCCAAGGAUGGAGGAUGCCUGGGGCUUCCCCCGCGGCAGGCGGCAGUCAGAGCCGCCCAAAUUCAUGUGCAGCCCGGAGAGAGCCCGCAAAAGCUGCCCCGUCGUCCAGCCGGACGGCCCCACUCAGUACCGCCGGGGGCGCAGGCAGUCCGAGCCGACCACUGAGCUGAGCCAGAUGGGGCAGGAGCAGAACGGUAA
RNAcentral lists this long non-coding RNA (244 nucleotides) under Gopherus agassizii (Agassiz's desert tortoise). RNAcentral describes it as "lncRNA (ENSGAGG00000019103.1)". The record is from RNAcentral. Lineage: Eukaryota; Metazoa; Chordata; Testudines; Testudinidae.